Molecule: long non-coding RNA, 686 nt
Filed under: Felis catus (domestic cat)
Lineage: Eukaryota; Metazoa; Chordata; Mammalia; Carnivora; Felidae
Description: lncRNA (ENSFCAG00000052481.1)
Source: RNAcentral
UAUGCAGAUGUUCUUUAUUCAUCAUCACCAGUAACUGGAAACCCGCUCUCCUUGAAGCACCUGUUGGUGAGCGUCCGUGGGAUGUUGCCACCAGUAACUGGACACCUGCUCGCCUUGAAGCACCUGUAGCUCAUGGUGGGCGUCGGCAAGGACAGGACCGCAUUCCUGGAUGACAAGGACCCUUGGCAGGUGCAGCGCUAGAUUCACAGCGACGGGGUCUCCUGAGCUGCCUUCCGUACCAUCGAAGAGCACACCUGGCAGCAGAUUUGCAUCCUGGGCCUCCACCUGUUGGAACCGCCGGCCCUCGGGGUCCAGCUCCCCCGCCACUCCCCUGGCUCCUCUCCAGUCGUCCAUGUCGGAGACCCUCGCUCCUGUGACCCUUCCUCUCCAGUCGUCCACGUCGGAGACCCUGGCUCGUGUGGCCCUUACACCGGUACCGAGUUCAGACGACUGGGAACCAACCAGCGGCUGGCCACAUGGAUCACAUCGUCCGGCAAAUUUUGCUCAGAGCACAGCGUUGUUUGAUUACGAGCCGGACUUGUUGGAAACCCUGCGGGAAAGGACACAAACAGGGUCAUGAGAACAUCUGCUGAGUUUCAGGAUGUAAAGCCUGUGUGUGCGCCUGUGUGUGUAUGCGUGUGUGUUGCUAAAAUAAAUAGGUAUCUGAGGAGUAAUAAUGUUUUAUU